This 391-nucleotide ribosomal RNA is filed under the name uncultured bacterium. Its description in RNAcentral is "bacterial SSU rRNA". It matches the Rfam family "Bacterial small subunit ribosomal RNA", at positions 505 to 898 of the family's 1533-position model. The record is from RNAcentral.
GUGUCAGCAGCCGCGGUAAGACGGAGGGGGCUAGCGUUGUUCGGAAUGACUGGGCGUAAAGGGCGCGUAGGCGGUUACUUAAGUGAGGCGUGAAAGCCCUGGGCUUAACCCAGGAAUAGCGUUUCAUACUGUGUGACUUGAGUGCGAGAGAGGAAAGUGGAAUUCCUAGUGUAGAGGUGAAAUUCGUAGAUAUUAGGAAGAACACCAGAGGCGAAGGCGGCUUUCUGGCUCGCAACUGACGCUGAGGCGCGAAAGCGUGGGGAGCAAACAGGAUUAGAUACCCUGGUAGUCCACGCUGUAAACGAUGAGUGCUAGACGUUGGAGGUUACCCUUCAGUGUCGCAGCUAACGCAUUAAGCACUCCGCCUGGGGAGUACGGUCGCAAGAUUAAA